This 635-nucleotide long non-coding RNA is filed under the name Monodelphis domestica (gray short-tailed opossum). RNAcentral describes it as "lncRNA (ENSMODG00000032978.2)". The record is from RNAcentral. Lineage: Eukaryota; Metazoa; Chordata; Mammalia; Didelphimorphia; Didelphidae.
ACUAUAUAUCCAAUCCUUGAUUGCCUUCCUGCCAAAUGAUAGUUACACAACAAAUACACAGAACAAAUACCAAGCGAACCCAUUAAUUUGAAGGUCAGAGGAAGCAUCAAUUGAGGAAUGGCUGAAAAAUUGUGCUAUAUUACUAUAAUGGAAUAUGAUUGAGCCAUAGGAAAUUAUGAAGGGUGAUUGCAAAGGAUCCUGGAUAGUGUGAAUUGACACAGAGCAAAAUGAGCAGAACCAGAAAAAUAAUUUAUUCAAAAACAAGAACGUUGUAAAAAACAACAACACAACUUUGAAGAACUUAAGAACUCUGAUGAUGCAAUAAUUAACCAUGUGUCCAGAGAACCUCCUUCUGACUGAGAGGUGAUGGGUUCCAAGAUGCACGAAAAGACAUUUUUGGAUGAGGUCACUGAGUGGAUUUCUUUUGCUUGACAAGUCUUAUUUGUAAAAGGUCAUAGCAGCUCUCUUGGAAACAAGCUCCUUCGUUUCUCCAGACCACAGCAGGCCCUUCCCAAUCAGGACAGGCACAGAUUCCCCUAACAGACUACAGCAGGCCAAUCAGGACAGGCACAGAUAACUCUGGUAAGUAUAUCCUUUAAAAAUACACCCCACCUCCCAACCCCUACAUAUCGUCU